Molecule: non-coding RNA, 86 nt
Organism: Trametes cingulata
Lineage: Eukaryota; Fungi; Basidiomycota; Agaricomycetes; Polyporales; Polyporaceae
Source: the annotation of a GenBank genome assembly
GGCCCAAUGGUCUAGUCGUAUGAUUCGCGCUUCGGGCGGUGUUUCGAGCGUGCGCGAGGUCCCGGGUUCAAUUCCCGGUUGGGCCC